GAUGAACGCUGGCGGCGUGCCUAAUACAUGCAAGUCGAGCGAACAGAUGAGGAGCUUGCUCCUCUGACGUUAGCGGCGGACGGGUGAGUAACACGUGGAUAACCUACCUAUAAGACUGGGAUAACUUCGGGAAACCGGAGCUAAUACCGGAUAAUAUAUUGAACCGCAUGGUUCAAUAGUGAAAGACGGUUUUGCUGUCACUUAUAGAUGGUUCCGCGCCGCAUUAGCUAGUUGGUAAGGUAACGGCUUACCAAGGCAACGAUGCGUAGCCGACCUGAGAGGGUGAUCGGCCACACUGGGACUGAGACACGGUCCAGACUCCUACGGGAGGCAGCAGUAGGGAAUCUUCCGCAAUGGGCGAAAGCCUGACGGAGCAACGCCGCGUGAGUGAUGAAGGUCUUCGGAUCGUAAAACUCUGUUAUUAGGGAAGAACAAAUGUGUAAGUAACUAUGCACGUCUUGACGGUACCUAAUCAGAAAGCCACGGCUAACUACGUG
RNAcentral lists this ribosomal RNA (497 nucleotides) under uncultured bacterium. RNAcentral describes it as "partial 16S ribosomal RNA". It matches the Rfam family "Bacterial small subunit ribosomal RNA", at positions 28 to 507 of the family's 1533-position model. The record is from RNAcentral.